GACGAACGCUGGCGGCGUGCUUAACACAUGCAAGUCGAACGGUGAAGCGCCUUCCUUUUUGGUGGGUGUGGAUGAGUGGCGAACGGGUGAGUAACACGUGAGUAACCUGCCCCCUUCUUCUGGAUAACCGCAUGAAAGUGUGGCUAAUACGGGAUAUUCUGGGUCUGUCGCAUGAUGGGUCUGGGAAAGAUAUUGUUUCGGUGGGGGAGGGGCUCGCGGCCUAUCAGCUUGUUGGUGGGGUGAUGGCCUACCAAGGCGGUGACGGGGAGCCGGCCUGAGAGGGUGGACGGUCACACUGGGACUGAGACACGGCCCAGACUCCUACGGGAGGCAGCAGUGGGGAAUAUUGCACAAUGGGCGCAAGCCUGAUGCAGCGACGCCGCGUGAGGGAUGGAGGCCUUCGGGUUGUGAACCUCUUUCGCCAGUGAAGCAGGCCUGCCUCGUUUGUGGGUGGGUUGACGGUAGCUGGAUAAGAAGCGCCGGCUAACUACGUG
This 494-nucleotide ribosomal RNA is filed under the name uncultured bacterium. Its description in RNAcentral is "partial 16S ribosomal RNA". It matches the Rfam family "Bacterial small subunit ribosomal RNA", at positions 28 to 507 of the family's 1533-position model. The record is from RNAcentral.